Molecule: ribosomal RNA, 377 nt
Filed under: Haploptychius sp. 8 TS-2020
Lineage: Eukaryota; Metazoa; Mollusca; Gastropoda; Stylommatophora; Streptaxidae
Description: partial large subunit ribosomal RNA
Rfam family: Bacterial large subunit ribosomal RNA
Source: RNAcentral
AGCCACAUGUAUAUAUAUUUGGUGUUUUCUGCCCAGUGAUAUUUAAACGGCCGCAGUACUUUGACUGUGCUAAGGUAGCAUAAUCAAUUGACUUUUAAUUGAAGUCUGGAAUGAAUGGAAAAAUGGGAAAAUUCUAUCUUAAAAAAAAUUUAAUUAAAUUAUUGAUAAGGUGAAAAUACCUUAUAUUUAAAAAUAGACGAGAAGACCCUUAGAGUUUUUUUGUUGGGGUGACAAGUAAGCAAACCUUAUUUGAUGUAAGGAUAAACUACCUAAGGGAUAACAGCAUAAUUUUUUAUAAAGAUUGUGACCUCGAUGUUGGACUAGGGAAUUAAUAAUUAGAAAUUAAAAUAAAAUGUUCUGUUCGAACAUUAACCCCU